Molecule: long non-coding RNA, 1547 nt
Filed under: Struthio camelus australis
Lineage: Eukaryota; Metazoa; Chordata; Aves; Struthioniformes; Struthionidae
Description: lncRNA (ENSSCUG00000007286.1)
Source: RNAcentral
GUAAGUUCUCAGUAUAGACAUAAUUCUGCUCCCACUGAAGUCAGUGGGAUUUUUAACCUUAAUUGUCAAUAUUGGUGAGAAUGCCAACACGGAGCACAUUUGGAGGCUAGAUCCCAUCUUCACACGUGACAGAUUCUGUAUGCUUUUGAAAGGCGAAAGGAGCCGGAUUCUAAAUCCUUUAAGUCUCUUUUGCUAUGUUACUUGUAGUCCACCCUGCAGUGAUCUGCCUGACGCCGCGGGGCCAGGGCGACGUGCUCGCGUGGCAGCAGCUCCACGGGGGCAUGGCUGCCCGCAGCUGACCCAGAGCGCGUUGCCGCUGGACUCGCCAUCCGUCAGCCGCCGCUCCCUGCUCCUGCAGAGCUGCGUGAUCGGAGAUGGGCUGCGCACCUUCUCCCCGUGCUGCCUCCUGCUCUGCCCCAUGCCGCCGUGGAGCACACACCAGCAGCUUAUAUGGGCAUCUUUCCGCUACGGAGACACCCGGUCACAUGCAUACACAAGAAGUACACGCAGAAAAUGCUGUGUUAACAUUGUGUCACUGAAAGGAUAAACAAGAACGUAGCUUUUUGCAAACUCCAUCUCAACGUUACUGACUGAUUUUUUUUGCAGCACUCCAGCCAGAAGUGGUGCUAAGCACAAAGUCUCCCUGAACUGUGCUUGCUGUUACAGAAAAUAGUUCAUGUGCUUUAUCAUCUGUUUGGACCUUUCAGGCUCAUUUUGUAGAAUGGACAUUGAUUUCCUCAAAUAGCAGUCAGAAUGCAUUUCUUCUCUUCCUUAUGCCAUGACCUUCUCAGAGGUUAUCGUGUCACAUUACAACAUGAAGUUUAGGCUUGUUCUUUUUGCCCUUACAGCCAAGCCACUCCAUGUCAAAUAGCUGUCAGGGAUUGAAUUCAGGGCAGAGUCGUAUAUCAGCCCGGCACUGAUGCUGCUGGCAGUUAGCCUUGCACUGCUGUUAACUGACGGAAAACAGGCAGAAUCUGCCCAAGAGGGGGACAGCAGAGCUAUGGUUUGUCUUUCUUACUGAUUGGUCCAUCCCCCAAAAGUGAAAGAAUGUAAAAGGAGAGUUUAGAUAAUAUGAAGGUGCUCCUUUUCAAACCAAACUUAGUGUCACAAGAAAUCCUGUAAUCGUUAGUUUAACUCUUCCAUGUCACUAAAGUUUCACAGCAUCAGAUAAUAUACUACGCAUCGGUCAGAAACUUCGGCACUAAGCCGGACGGUAGCUUGAAAGCUGUGCCCUUGUAAUGUUGUUCCGCUCAGAAACAGGGGAAAAUCAAAUCAUAAUGUAGUAAAUUUAUCUAGCGCUAGUAUUUGUGCUCCAUCCUCAGUUGUUAGGAGAACAGAGAAACCCUACUGGAUGGAGCAAAGCUAAGGUUUACCAUGACAAAUUCACAGACCAGCUGAUCUCACCUUAAUGUCAUCUGUGGAUAAAGCUACAUAAAUCUCAGUGGCUGUUUAGUGCUCAGCUGCAGGACCAGCAUGUAUUGAGAGAUUAGAUCAGAGUGAGGGAGAGGGGGGGAGAGAGAGAGAGAGAGAGGAGGAAAAAAGAUUCA